ACACGACUACAUUAGAUACCCGGGUAGUCCCAGUCGUAAACUAUGCGCGUUAGGUGUACUGGUGACCACGAGUCACCGGGGUGCCGAAGGGAAACCGUGAAACGUGCCGCCUGGGAAGUACGGUCGCAAGGCUGAAACUUAAAGGAAUUGGCGGGGAGCACCACAACGGGUGGAGCCUGCGGUUUAAUUGGACUCAACGCCGGAAAUCUCACCGGAUAGGACAGGCAUAUGAUAGUCGGGCUGAAGACUCUACUUGAUGAUCUG
Molecule: ribosomal RNA, 264 nt
Filed under: uncultured archaeon
Lineage: Archaea
Description: partial 16S ribosomal RNA
Rfam family: Archaeal small subunit ribosomal RNA
Source: RNAcentral